GAAGCUGUGCAUCGCUCCCAUUGGCUGCCUGCAAGCGCCACUCAAAGUGCCGGGCAUCCUUUUUGAGUCCGGCAGUAUGCUAUCGGGAUAGAGAGAGAUAGAGAGAGAGAGAGAGCAAAAACAGCGGAGCCCUCGUGUGUGCGCCGAACGCAUAUGAGAAGAGCGCCGAGCAUCGUUCUCAGAGCAGCCCAGCCAUCGCCAUGAGCAAGCUCAGUCCCAAUGAGACUCCGUCCCCCAGUGAGAUUCCUGGCCAGGAGGGGAAAGGUGAGUGUAAGACCGCCGGCCUUCGCAGGCAAAAUAUUAAAGAUGUGCACGAAAAUUUGUGCAAACUUUGGCCGUCCAGGUAUUCCCACCAGCUGUUAGGAAAUGUGGGAGGUGAAGUCCAAAACACCUGAAGGGAGUGCCCAUAUCUGCCGUAUAUGUUUUAUCACCAUGACCUAUUUCUGGGUAGCAUAAUGUUGUCAAAAAGACCCAUAGAUGGGAACCUCUGUAUUCUGAUAUAACAGGUUCAAUAUGUGGACAACAUCCUUCAGUAUAUAGACGACUGGCUCAUAGCAGCCGGCAUAUGCAAACUUCGGCCAUCCAGGCCAGCAUGUGUAAACUUUGGCCGUCCAGUUAGAUUGUGAGUCACGGUGUGAUCUCGGGAAAGUCACAUUCUCGCAAGUGUGAAUGUUGCCAUUGGCCACCUUGAUUAUCAUUUAAGGGCCUUGCAGCUUCAAAGCCUUGGGGAAUCCUUUGUUGGUAGGUGUUAGCUGGCCCUGAUUAUUUCCUGCCUGGAAUUCCCUUGUCGUCUGAGUAUUGCUCUUUAUUUACAGUCCUGAUUUUAGAGUUUUCAGUAUUGGUGGCCAGAUUUUGUUCGUUUUCAUGGUUUCCUCCUUUCUGUAAUACUGGCUACCAGUAUUUAAAAUAAUCUAAAAUUAGGACAGUAAAUAAAGAACAACACUCAGAAAACUGGGGAAUCCCAGACAGGAAACAAUCUGGGCUAACUAAUAAAAGGGUUAUUAUUAUUAUGUUGCAGUGUUGAGAACAGGAGGGAGGGGGAAAUGAAGCUUUAGUUCUCUUAUAUGUCUCUCUCUGCUAGCCUUUUGAUAGGCAAAAUUGUGGGAGUUGAAGACCAAAACACCUGAAGGGAGUGCUCAUAUCUGCCAUAUAUCUUUUUUAUCACCACGACCUAUUUCCGGGUAGUAUAAGGUCAGCGAAAAGACCCAUAGAUGGAAACCUCUGUAUUCUGAUAUAUCAGGUUCAAUAUGUGGACGACAUCCUUCACUAUAUAGACGAUUGGCUCAUAGCAGCCGGUAUGUGCAAACUUUGACAGUCCAGGCAUUCCUACUGGCUGUUGGGAAUUGUGGGAGUUGAAGUCCAAAAUAUCUGAAGGGAGUGCCCAUAUCUGCCGUAUAUCUGUUUUAUCACCACGACCUAUUUCCGGGUAGUAUAAGGUCAGCGAAAAGACCCAUAUGGAAACCUCUGCAUUCUGAUAGACCAGGUUCAAUAUAUGGACGACAUCCUUCAGUAUAUAGACGACUGGCUCAUAG
RNAcentral lists this long non-coding RNA (1532 nucleotides) under Anolis carolinensis (green anole). Its description in RNAcentral is "lncRNA (ENSACAG00000045139.1)". Lineage: Eukaryota; Metazoa; Chordata; Lepidosauria; Squamata; Anolidae. The record is from RNAcentral.